Molecule: ribosomal RNA, 277 nt
Filed under: uncultured bacterium
Lineage: Bacteria
Description: partial 16S ribosomal RNA
Rfam family: Bacterial small subunit ribosomal RNA
Source: RNAcentral
CCUACGGGAGGCAGCAGUAGGGAAUUUUCGUCAAUGGGCGCAAGCCUGAACGAGCAAUGCCGCGUGAACGAGGAAGGUCUUCGGAUCGUAAAGUUCUGUUGAAGGGGAAAAAGAGCGGAGAGAGGAAAUGAACUCCGAUUGAUAUUACCCUUCGAGGAAGUCACGGCUAACUACGUGCCAGCAGCAGCGGUAAUACGUAGGUGGCAAGAGUUAUACGGAUUUAUUGGGCGUAAAGGGAAAGCAGGCGGUCUUUUAAGUCUGAUGGGAAAGCCUUAGG